GAUGAAGAACGCAGCAAAAUGCGAUAAGUAAUGUGAAUUGCAGAAUUCAGUGAAUCAUCGAAUCUUUGAACGCACAUUGCGCCCGCCAGUAUUCUGGCGGGCAUGCCUGUUCGAGCGUCAUUUCAACCCUCAAGCCCUCGGGUUUGGUGUUGGGGAUCGGCGAGCCUUUCUGGCAAGCCGGCCCCGAAAUCUAGUGGCGGUCUCGCUGCAGCCUCCAUUGCGUAGUAGUAAAACCCUCGCAACUGGAACGCGGCGCGGCCAAGCCGUUAAACCCCCAACUUCUGAAUGUUGACCUCGGAUCAGGUAGGAAUACCCGCUGAACUUAAGCAUAUCAAUAAGCGUAGGA
This 346-nucleotide unclassified non-coding RNA is filed under the name soil metagenome. RNAcentral describes it as "partial contains 5.8S ribosomal RNA, internal transcribed spacer 2, and large subunit ribosomal RNA". The stretch from base 1 to 120 matches the Rfam family "5.8S ribosomal RNA", at positions 35 to 154 of the family's 154-position model. The record is from RNAcentral.